AUCCGACCUCUAUAGGUAUCCACAAGAAUGAUCUAGGAUGCUCCUCUUAAACUCGAUCUAUCUUCUCCAAGAAAAAUCAGCAUACACUCUUUCUCUUAGUGUGGAGAUGGAAUGCCUAACUCCUUGGGCAUGUGGAAGAUGGAGGACACCCAACACUUAGGUGUGGAGAGGAGGGGAUGCCCAACAUCUUUGGGCAUGAGGCAUGAGGGAGAUAGAAAGGAAGGGCGUGAGGCAAGAGAGAGAGGUGCAGGCUUUUCU
RNAcentral lists this long non-coding RNA (258 nucleotides) under Elaeis guineensis (African oil palm). Its description in RNAcentral is "long non-coding RNA (EGUI_LNC028301)". The record is from RNAcentral. Lineage: Eukaryota; Viridiplantae; Streptophyta; Magnoliopsida; Arecales; Arecaceae.